CAAGACACGCGGGGGUCUAACCCACACUUCCGCCUUGACAAGGCGGUGUAAUGUGCUCUUUUACUAGUGUCUU
This 73-nucleotide transfer RNA is filed under the name Sebastes koreanus. RNAcentral's name for it is "tRNA-Asp". Lineage: Eukaryota; Metazoa; Chordata; Actinopteri; Perciformes; Sebastidae. The record is from RNAcentral.